AGAGUUUGAUCAUGGCUCAGGACGAACGCUGGCGGCAUGCCUAACACAUGCAAGUCUAGGGGUAGCAAUACCACUGGCGCACGGGUGAGUAACACGUAGGUUAUCUGCCCCCCAUCACAGACAUAACCCCGGGAAACCGGGGCUAAUAUCUGAUGAGGUCGCGAGAUCAAAGCUUCGGCGGAUGGGGAUGAGCCUGCGGCUGAUUAGCUAGUUGGUGAGGUAAUGGCUCACCAAGGCGACGAUCAGUAGCUGGUCUGAGAGGACGAACAGCCACACUGGAACUGAGACACGGUCCAGACUCCUACGGGAGGCAGCAGUGAGGAAUAUUGGUCAAUGGGAGCAAUCCUGAACCAGCAAUGCCGCGUGUGGGAUGACAGGGCUUCGCCUUGUAAACCACUGUCGGACGGGACGAAAGGAGGCCUCGGGGCCUCUGGGACGGUACCGUCAAAGGAAGGGUCGGCUAACUACGUG
Molecule: ribosomal RNA, 471 nt
Filed under: uncultured bacterium
Lineage: Bacteria
Description: bacterial SSU rRNA
Rfam family: Bacterial small subunit ribosomal RNA
Source: RNAcentral